This 465-nucleotide ribosomal RNA is filed under the name uncultured bacterium. Its description in RNAcentral is "bacterial SSU rRNA". It matches the Rfam family "Bacterial small subunit ribosomal RNA", at positions 338 to 795 of the family's 1533-position model. The record is from RNAcentral.
CCUACGGGAGGCAGCAGUGGGGAAUAUUGCACAAUGGGCGCAAGCCUGAUGCAGCCAUGCCGCGUGUGUGAAGAAGGCCUUCGGGUUGUAAAGCACUUUCAGCGGGGAGGAAGGCGGUGAGAUUAAUACUCUCACCGAUUGACGUUACCCGCAGAAGAAGCACCGGCUAACUCCGUGCCAGCAGCCGCGGUAAUACGGAGGGUGCAAGCGUUAAUCGGAAUGACUGGGCGUAAAGCGCACGCAGGCGGUUUGUUAAGUCGGAUGUGAAAUCCCCGGGCUCAACCUGGGAACUGCAUUCGAAACUGGCAGGCUAGAGUCUUGUAGAGGGGGGUAGAAUUCCAGGUGUAGCGGUGAAAUGCGUAGAGAUCUGGAGGAAUACCGGUGGCGAAGGCGGCCCCCUGGACAAAGACUGACGCUCAGGUGCGAAAGCGUGGGGAGCAAACAGGAUUAGAUACCCGUGUAGUC